UACGGAGGGUGCGAGCGUUGUUCGGAAUUACUGGGCGUAAAGGGCGCGCAGGCGGCUCUGAAAGUCAGAUGUGAAAGCCCCGGGCUUAACCUGGGAACUGCAUUUGAUACUCUGGAGCUUGAGUACGGGAGAGGAUAGUGGAAUUCCCAGUGUAGAGGUGAAAUUCGUAGAUAUUCGGAAGAACACCAGUGGCGAAGGCGACUUACUGGACACAUAUUGACGCUGAGGUGCGAAAGCGUGGGGAGCAAACAGG
Molecule: ribosomal RNA, 253 nt
Filed under: uncultured bacterium
Lineage: Bacteria
Description: partial 16S ribosomal RNA
Rfam family: Bacterial small subunit ribosomal RNA
Source: RNAcentral